GACGAACGCUGGCGGCGUGCCUAAUACAUGCAAGUCGAGCGCAGGAAACUGACGGAACUCUUCGGAGGGAAGGCAGUGGAAUGAGCGGCGGACGGGUGAGUAACACGUAAGGAACCUGCCUCAAGGAUUGGGAUAACUCCGAGAAAUCGGAGCUAAUACCGGAUAGUUCAUCGGACCGCAUGGUCCGCUGAUGAAAGGCGCUCCGGCGUCACCUUGAGAUGGCCUUGCGGUGCAUUAGCUAGUUGGUGGGGUAACGGCCCACCAAGGCGACGAUGCAUAGCCGACCUGCGAGGGUGAUCGGCCACACUGGGACUGAGACACGGCCCAGACUCCUACGGGAGGCAGCAGUAGGGAAUCUUCCACAAUGGACGAAAGUCUGAUGGAGCAACGCCGCGUGAGUGAUGAAGGUUUUCGGAUCGUAAAACUCUGUUGUAAGGGAAGAACACGUACGAGAGGGAAUGCUCGUACCUUGACGGUACCUUACGAGAAAGCCACGGCUAACUAUGUGCCAGCCGCCGCAGUAA
This 524-nucleotide ribosomal RNA is filed under the name uncultured bacterium. Its description in RNAcentral is "partial 16S ribosomal RNA". It matches the Rfam family "Bacterial small subunit ribosomal RNA", at positions 28 to 523 of the family's 1533-position model. The record is from RNAcentral.